Molecule: long non-coding RNA, 200 nt
Filed under: Elaeis guineensis (African oil palm)
Lineage: Eukaryota; Viridiplantae; Streptophyta; Magnoliopsida; Arecales; Arecaceae
Description: long non-coding RNA (EGUI_LNC028835)
Source: RNAcentral
CCCUCUCUCUCUCUACUUUCUGUGUGUGUUGUCAUGGCUGGGAGGAAGAAAUUCUAUUCUUGCAUGCUUGUUGUUGUGCUAAUUCUUGCUAAUGAAUAUCUUUCAUCACAGGGAAGAUAUUUGAAAGCAGAGAAGUUCAAAUCUGGGGGAUGUAGAGAAUGCGCAGAGCGAGGUGACAGCAACAUCCAAGGAACGGCAAG